CCCAUUGUCACUACCCUGCCAGAGAAGAGUUGGAGGGCCGGAGUCUCGUAAAUCAAAGCGUCGCAUCAUGGAGACACAGGUCAGCGCCUCUGUCUCAGGAGGAGGGGGGUGGGGGUCUGGGCCACUAUUCCUGGCUUACAUUUUCUUCCUCUUAUUUUUUUUAAAUGCACCCAGGUAAACAUCCUUGUGUGACCCAAAUAACCCGUCAUUCUCACAGAGCCGUCUCCUUCAGCCUUGCUGCUCCUUUCACACUCCGCUGCCUCUGUGUUUGUUCUCUCCUCCCAGCAGGAACCUUAAAGCCUGCUAAUGUGUUAGAGAACACAAAUAGAUUAAAAGUAGCUUUGAGAAACGUGGUGGCGCUCCGCUAAAAUGUAUAAUUCAGAUCCAAUCUUGCUAAAACCUGCUCUUGUAUUUCAGCAACACCUGCGAUUCAACGACACAUUUAUCAGCAUCAUCAGAGCCGAUUCCCAGCGGACGGCUCUGAAACAAGCAGUCUCACAUGUGCUGGUUACUAUUUUUACUCUGCAUUCUUAAGCGUGAACGUUCGUCGUGCUUUGUUCCUCCUACACAUCGCUCUGAUCUGUGUAUGUGCACGUAGUGAAAUCCUGGAACAAUACGCUCUGCACUGCUCCUGUUUUUCUCUCCACUUUGGCUCAUCCAAGCUCCAUUGUUCUCCUCUGACGGAUGCUAAUCUCAGUCUGUCUUGGAGGAGUAGGUCUGAGGAAAGUGAGAUGGGUAAGAAUGCUGAUAUGCGGAGUCUGGGAUCACUUCCAAGUGCACUUUGCAGUCAAUUACAUUUUGGCCAGGUGGCGCUGGCACCUUGACAGCGCUACUCUGACAGAACGUCUCUGUUUAAAGGUGCAGACAUAAACCGAAGCCUCUGAUUAAUAAUCUCCCAUCAUAACCGCCAUGCUACAGAAGUGGCUCGGUGUGCUGCUGUGUGGUGACCACCUCCUAGGUGAUGCUUUUACUUUGUAUGAGUCAGCAGCAGCUUCCUCACUAACCCUUUGGGCUGUGGACAGUUUACAAAAAACACAAAAUACCCCAAAACCUGAACUUGACACUCGAGCGAGCACAAAGGUAACAGUUUUGGAGGGACUGAUGAUGUUGGUUCAGACACCAGCUGAUCCCUGUGUCUCCCCUCUGCCCAGACCUGUCAACCCCCGGUUACUGCCAACCCUGUUGAGCUGCUGCCAUGUUGCCAUGGCUACAUGGGAGGAGCCAACCUUUACAACUCCAGGAAGUCGGAGGAGGAGCUUAACAUGUGCCCUCCUCCCAAACGAAUGUAUGCCUUCUACCACAGCACUUACAACGGAAACACUACUGCAUUUCCCAGGAAUCUUCAUCACUACAACAGCACGGCAGACACCUGCAGACUUACACCAGCGUGCUUCCCUUAUUCCUUUGACUCCAGUGGAAACCAUCACCACCAUCUCUACCAGCACCACCACCACCAGCACCAGCCAGGCCAGAAGCAGCUGGAGCCCCUCGUCCUGCGUGACGUCCCUCCCUAUCAGGCCGGUGUGGGCGCGGGGGGAGGUGUUGGAGCAGGAGGCAGAGCAGGGAUGGGGAUGGGAGGGGGUGAUGGGACUGUAG
This 1596-nucleotide long non-coding RNA is filed under the name Nothobranchius furzeri (turquoise killifish). RNAcentral describes it as "lncRNA (ENSNFUG00015005238.1)". Lineage: Eukaryota; Metazoa; Chordata; Actinopteri; Cyprinodontiformes; Nothobranchiidae. The record is from RNAcentral.